GAUGAACGCUGGCGGCGUGCCUAAUACAUGCAAGUAGAACGCUGAAGGAGGAGCUUGCUCUUCUGGAUGAGUUGCGAACGGGUGAGUAACGCGUAGGUAACCUGCCUGGUAGCGGGGGAUAACUAUUGGAAACGAUAGCUAAUACCGCAUGACAACAGUUAUUGCAUGAUAACUGUUUAAAAGGGGCAACUGCUCCACUACCAGAUGGACCUGCGUUGUAUUAGCUAGUUGGUGAGGUAACGGCUCACCAAGGCGACGAUACAUAGCCGACCUGAGGGGGUGAUCGGCCACACUGGGACUGAGACACGGCCCAGACUCCUACGGGAGGCAGCAGUAGGGAAUCUUCGGCAAUGGACGGAAGUCUGACCGAGCAACGCCGCGUGAGUGAAGAAGGUUUUCGGAUCGUAAAGCUCUGUUGUAAGAGAAGAACGAGUGUGAGAGUGGAAAGUUCACACUGUGACGGUAUCUUACCAGAAAGGGACGGCUAACUACGUG
RNAcentral lists this ribosomal RNA (495 nucleotides) under uncultured bacterium. RNAcentral describes it as "partial 16S ribosomal RNA". It matches the Rfam family "Bacterial small subunit ribosomal RNA", at positions 28 to 507 of the family's 1533-position model. The record is from RNAcentral.